CGUAGGGCUUCGGCCCUGUCGAGAUAGAACCCUUGCCUUUUUGAGUACCUUUCGUUUCCUCGGCAGGCUCGCCUGCCAAUGGGGACCACAAAAAACACUUUGCAGUACCUGUAACAGUCUGAACAAACAAAACAAAAAUUAAAACUUUCAACAACGGAUCUCUUGGUUCUGGCAUCGAUGAAGAACGCAGCGAAAUGCGAUAAGUAGUGUGAAUUGCAGAAUUCAGUGAAUCAUCGAAUCUUUGAACGCACAUUGCGCCCUUUGGUAUUCCUUAGGGCAUGCCUGUUCGAACGUCAUUUAAACCUUCAAGCUAAGCUUGGUGUUGGGUGACUGUCCGCUUCACUGCGGACUCGCCUCAAAAUUAUUGGCGGCCGGUACAUUGGCUUCGAGCGCAGCAGAAACGCGAACUCGGGCCCGUCGUAUUGGCUCCCAGAAGCUAUCUUCACAAUUUUGACCUCGGAUCAGGUAGGGAUACCCGCUGAACUUAAGCAUAUCAAUAAGCGGAGGA
RNAcentral lists this ribosomal RNA (508 nucleotides) under uncultured Pleosporales. Its description in RNAcentral is "eukaryotic LSU rRNA". The stretch from base 143 to 296 matches the Rfam family "5.8S ribosomal RNA". Lineage: Eukaryota; Fungi; Ascomycota; Dothideomycetes; Pleosporales. The record is from RNAcentral.